This 591-nucleotide ribosomal RNA is filed under the name uncultured bacterium. RNAcentral describes it as "bacterial SSU rRNA". It matches the Rfam family "Bacterial small subunit ribosomal RNA", at positions 194 to 783 of the family's 1533-position model. The record is from RNAcentral.
CUCUCUACAGAAGCUUGCGCCUAAGGAUGAACCUGCGGCCCAUCAGCUAGUUGGUAAGGUAACGGCUUACCAAGGCAAAGACGGGUAGCUGGUCUGAGAGGAUGAACAGCCACACUGGAACUGAGACACGGUCCAGACUCCUACGGGAGGCAGCAGUGGGGAAUCUUGCACAAUGGGCGAAAGCCUGAUGCAGCGACGCCGCGUGAGCGAUGAAGGCCUUCGGGUUGUAAAGCUCUGUGGGGAGGGACGAAUACGCGUUGGCUAAUAUCCAACGUGAUGACGGUACCUCCUUAGCAAGCACCGGCUAACUCUGUGCCAGCAGCCGCGGUAAGACAGAGGGUGCAAACGUUGUUCGGAAUUACUGGGCGUAAAGCGCGUGUAGGCGGCUAUAUAAGUCGGACGUGAAAUCCCACGGCUCAACCGUGGAAGUGCGCUCGAAACUGUGUAGCUUGAGUCCUGGAGAGGAAGACGGAAUACUUGGUGUAGAGGUGAAAUUCGUAGAUAUCAGGUAGAACACCAGUGGCGAAGGCGGUCUUCUGGACAGUGACUGACGCUGAGACGCGAAAGCGUGGGGAGCAAACAGGAUUAGAU